RNAcentral lists this long non-coding RNA (1048 nucleotides) under Callithrix jacchus (white-tufted-ear marmoset). RNAcentral describes it as "lncRNA (ENSCJAG00000082743.1)". The record is from RNAcentral. Lineage: Eukaryota; Metazoa; Chordata; Mammalia; Primates; Cebidae.
AUAUAAUCGUGGAAGGUUCAAUGACAAAGUCAGACUGUGUGGAAUAACGAGAAAUCUAAAGCUUAUUGACAAAACAAAGAGAGAACUGAGAAUUAGGACAAAGGGUCAAGAACAAAGUGAAAGAAAAGGUUAGUUAAAAUAGGGCAUGCUGCAGAAACAACUCCCAAAUUGCAGUAGCCUAACACAAAGGUUUAUAUCUUAAAAAAAAAAAAAAGAAAUAGGCCAGGUGUGGUGCCUCACUCGUAUAAUCACAGCACUGUGGGUGGCUGAGGCAGGCAGACUGCUUGAACUCAGGUGUUCAAGACCAGCCUGGGAACAUGGUGAAAUCCCAUCUCUACCAAAAAAUAAAAAAUUAGUCCCAACUACUUGGGAGGCUGAGGCGGGAGAAUCAAUGAAGCCCGAGAGGCAGAGGUUGCAGUGAGCUGAGAUCAUGCCAAAGCACUCCAGCCUGGGUGACAGAGCAAGACCCUGUCUCAGAAAGAAAAAGAAAAAAAAAAUUAGCUGGUUGUGGUGGUGGGCGCCUGUAAUCCCAGCUACUCAGGAGGCUGAGGCAGGAGAAUCACUUGAACCUGGGAGGCGGAGGUUGCAGUAAGCCAAGAUCAUGCCACUGAACUCCAGCCUGGGCGACAGAGCAAGACUCCGUCUCAGAAAAAGAAAGAGUCCUUACACCACUUAACACUCAAAAGUACUCACAAAAAAUAACUCCUUUCACCAGGUGGCAUUAUUACUCUCCUUCAUUGAGAAAAUGGGAAACUGACCUUCAGAGAGGCUAACCACUUCAUCCCGAGUCAGCUAGCAUAGACACCUGUCAGCCAGCUCCAGAGCCCUGGCGCACCAAGCUCUACGGCUCGUGCCUUCACACUCGCUGUUCCCCAAGCCUGGAGCACACUUCCCAGCUCUGAGAAACCUACUCAUCCUCCAAAACCCCACUCAUGUUCUUUUCAACAGGAAAAUCUCCCAUGAGAUGCUGCGCUGUCUCCAUCUCUCCUGCCCCAUAGCUUACGCAGACUCCUGUGGUGGCGAGUCCUGGGUGGUGAUGGUGUUUGCU